RNAcentral lists this ribosomal RNA (196 nucleotides) under uncultured Idiomarina sp. RNAcentral describes it as "partial 16S ribosomal RNA". It matches the Rfam family "Bacterial small subunit ribosomal RNA", at positions 336 to 524 of the family's 1533-position model. The record is from RNAcentral. Lineage: Bacteria; Pseudomonadati; Pseudomonadota; Gammaproteobacteria; Alteromonadales; Idiomarinaceae.
CUCCUACGGGAGGCAGCAGUGGGGAAUCUUGGACAAUGGGCGAAAGCCUGAUCCAGCCAUGCCGCGUGUGUGAAGAAGGCCUUCGGGUUGUAAAGCACUUUCAGUGGUGAGGAAAGGGUAAUCGUUAAUAGCGGUUACAGUUGACGUUAGCCACAGAAGAAGCACCGGCUAACUCCGUGCCAGCAGCCGCGGUAAU